UUAAGCGACUAAGCGUACACGGUGGAUGCCCUGGCAGUCAGAGGCGAUGAAGGACGUGCUAAUCUGCGAAAAGCGUCGGUAAGGUGAUAUGAACCGUUACAGCCGGCGAUGUCCGAAUGGGGAAACCCAGUGUGAUUCGUCACACUAUCGUUAACUGAAUACAUAGGUUAACGAGGCGAACCGGGGGAACUGAAACAUCUAAGUACCCCGAGGAAAAGAAAUCAACCGAGAUUCCCCCAGUAGCGGCGAGCGAACGGGGAGCAGCCCAGAGUCUGAAUCAGCUUGUGUGUUAGUGGAACGGUCUGGAAAGUCCGACGGUACAGGGUGAUAGUCCCGUACACCAAAAUGCACAGGUUGUGAACUCGAAGAGUAGGGCGGGACACGUGGUAUCCUGUCUGAAUAUGGGGGGACCAUCCUCCAAGGCUAAAUACUCCUGACUGACCGAUAGUGAACCAGUACCGUGAGGGAAAGGCGAAAAGAACCCCGGCGAGGGGAGUGAAAAAGAACCUGAAACCGUGUACGUACAAGCAGUGGGAGCACCUUCAGGUGUGACUGCGUACCUUUUGUAUAAUGGGUCAGCGACUUAUAUUCUGUAGCAAGGUUAACCGUAUAGGGGAGCCGCAGGGAAACCGAGUCUUAACUGGGCGUUAAGUUGCAGGGUAUAGACCCGAAACCCGGUGAUCUAGCCAUGGGCAGGUUGAAGGUUGGGUAACACUAACUGGAGGACCGAACCGACUAAUGUUGAAAAAUUAGCGGAUGACUUGUGGCUGGGGGUGAAAGGCCAAUCAAACCGGGAGAUAGCUGGUUCUCCCCGAAAGCUAUUUAGGUAGCGCCUCGUGAACUCAUCUUCGGGGGUAGAGCACUGUUUCGGCUAGGGGGUCAUCCCGACUUACCAACCCGAUGCAAACUACGAAUACCGAAGAAUGUUAUCACGGGAGACACACGGCGGGUGCUAACGUCCGUCGUGAAGAGGGAAACAACCCAGACCGCCAGCUAAGGUCCCAAAGUCAUGGUUAAGUGGGAAACGAUGUGGGAAGGCACAGACAGCCAGGAUGUUGGCUUAGAAGCAGCCAUCAUUUAAAGAAAGCGUAAUAGCUCACUGGUCGAGUCGGCCUGCGCGGAAGAUGUAACGGGGCUAAACCAUGCACCGAAGCUGCGGCAGCGACACUAUGUGUUGUUGGGUAGGGGAGCGUUCUGUAAGCCUGCGAAGGUGUGCUGUGAGGCAUGCUGGAGGUAUCAGAAGUGCGAAUGCUGACAUAAGUAACGAUAAAGCGGGUGAAAAGCCCGCUCGCCGGAAGACCAAGGGUUCCUGUCCAACGUUAAUCGGGGCAGGGUGAGUCGACCCCUAAGGCGAGGCCGAAAGGCGUAGUCGAUGGGAAACAGGUUAAUAUUCCUGUACUUGGUGUUACUGCGAAGGGGGGACGGAGAAGGCUAUGUUAGCCGGGCGACGGUUGUCCCGGUUUAAGCAUGUAGGCUGAUUGUCCAGGCAAAUCCGGAUAAUCAAGGCUGAGGUGUGAUGACGAGGCACUACGGUGCUGAAGUAACAAAUGCCCUGCUUCCAGGAAAAGCCUCUAAGCAUCAGGUAACAUUAAAUCGUACCCCAAACCGACACAGGUGGUCAGGUAGAGAAUACCAAGGCGCUUGAGAGAACUCGGGUGAAGGAACUAGGCAAAAUGGUGCCGUAACUUCGGGAGAAGGCACGCUGGUGUGUAGGUGAAGNUGGAGCUGAGACCAGUCGAAGAUACCAGCUGGCUGCAACUGUUUAUUAAAAACACAGCACUGUGCAAACACGAAAGUGGACGUAUACGGUGUGACGCCUGCCCGGUGCCGGAAGGUUAAUUGAUGGGGUUAUCCGUAAGGAGAAGCUCUUGAUCGAAGCCCCGGUAAACGGCGGCCGUAACUAUAACGGUCCUAAGGUAGCGAAAUUCCUUGUCGGGUAAGUUCCGACCUGCACGAAUGGCGUAAUGAUGGCCAGGCUGUCUCCACCCGAGACUCAGUGAAAUUGAACUCGCUGUGAAGAUGCAGUGUACCCGCGGCAAGACGGAAAGACCCCGUGAACCUUUACUAUAGCUUGACACUGAACAUUGAGCCUUGAUGUGUAGGAUAGGUGGGAGGCUUUGAAGCGUGGACGCCAGUCUGCGUGGAGCCAACCUUGAAAUACCACCCUUUAAUGUUUGAUGUUCUAACGUUGGCCCCUUACCGGGGUUGCGGACAGUGUCUGGUGGGUAGUUUGACUGGGGCGGUCUCCUCCCAAAGCGUAACGGAGGAGCACGAAGGUUAGCUAAUCCUGGUCGGACAUCAGGAGGUUAGUGCAAUGGCAUAAGCUAGCUUGACUGCGAGCGUGACGGCGCGAGCAGGUGCGAAAGCAGGUCAUAGUGAUCCGGUGGUUCUGAAUGGAAGGGCCAUCGCUCAACGGAUAAAAGGUACUCCGGGGAUAACAGGCUGAUACCGCCCAAGAGUUCAUAUCGACGGCGGUGUUUGGCACCUCGAUGUCGGCUCAUCACAUCCUGGGGCUGAAGUAGGUCCCAAGGGUAUGGCUGUUCGCCAUUUAAAGUGGUACGCGAGCUGGGUUUAGAACGUCGUGAGACAGUUCGGUCCCUAUCUGCCGUGGGCGCUGGAGAAUUGAGGGGGGCUGCUCCUAGUACGAGAGGACCGGAGUGGACGCAUCACUGGUGUUCGGGUUGUCAUGCCAAUGGCACUGCCCGGUAGCUAAAUGCGGAAGAGAUAAGUGCUGAAAGCAUCUAAGCACGAAACUUGCCCCGAGAUGAGUUCUCCCUGAGACUUUAAGUCUCCUGAAGGAACGUUGAAGACGACGACGUUGAUAGGCCGGGUGUGUAAGCGCAGCGAUGCGUUGAGCUAACCGGUACUAAUGAACCGUGAGGCUUAACCUU
This 2891-nucleotide ribosomal RNA is filed under the name Klebsiella pneumoniae. Its description in RNAcentral is "23S ribosomal RNA". It matches the Rfam family "Bacterial large subunit ribosomal RNA". The record is from RNAcentral. Lineage: Bacteria; Pseudomonadati; Pseudomonadota; Gammaproteobacteria; Enterobacterales; Enterobacteriaceae.